RNAcentral lists this ribosomal RNA (301 nucleotides) under uncultured bacterium. RNAcentral's name for it is "partial 16S ribosomal RNA". It matches the Rfam family "Bacterial small subunit ribosomal RNA", at positions 509 to 809 of the family's 1533-position model. The record is from RNAcentral.
CAGUAGCCGCGGUAAUACGUAGGGUGCAAGCGUUAAUCGGAAUUACUGGGCGUAAAGCGUGCGCAGGCGGUUAUAUAAGACAGAUGUGAAAUCCCCGGGCUCAACCUGGGAACUGCAUUUGUGACUGUAUAGCUAGAGUACGGCAGAGGGGGAUGGAAUUCCGCGUGUAGCAGUGAAAUGCGUAGAUAUGCGGAGGAACACCGAUGGCGAAGGCAAUCCCCUGGGCCUGUACUGACGCUCAUGCACUAAAGCGUGGGGAGCAAACAGGAUUAGAUACCCCAGUAGUCCCUGUCUCUUAUAU